This 336-nucleotide unclassified non-coding RNA is filed under the name Hevea brasiliensis (rubber tree). Lineage: Eukaryota; Viridiplantae; Streptophyta; Magnoliopsida; Malpighiales; Euphorbiaceae. The record is from RNAcentral.
GCGCCCCCCAUCCCCCUCCGUGUCCGAUUCCCCAGCCGAGUCAUCUGACGGGUUCCCGCCCGAGACGGCUAACGGCAGGAAGCCACAGGGGAGUGGGACGCGGGAGGUGAUUCGUGCUAUAAUGCGAUUCGGGGAGGUUUACGAGCGAGUGGAGAGCUUGAAGCUGCAGCACGCGAUGGAGAUGGAGGAGCAGAGGUUGGGAUUCGAGCGGGAGCUUGCAGAGCAGAGGAUGCAGUUCUUCAUGAAGACGCACAUGGAGUUGUCCCGGAGCAAGCAUCGGGCCCGAGUGGGGAGCUCGAGUAGUAAGAGGAAGAGGGUGUCUGGUGGUGGUGCCGG